Long non-coding RNA from Sebastes umbrosus (honeycomb rockfish), 1418 nucleotides. RefSeq lists it as uncharacterized. The transcript is spliced from 3 exons. The record is from RefSeq and is a predicted model, not a curated record. NCBI's taxonomy places the organism in Eukaryota, Metazoa, Chordata, Actinopteri, Perciformes, Sebastidae.
GCCGUUGCCAUGAUUACCUGCAGAACGAUGACAACACAACUGCCUGCCAAUCAGGAACAGCUAAUUUCCGAGGCCAUGGUAAAGAUCACGUUCUAAAGGUUGGAAUCAUUUUAAUAAAUGCACCAACAAUUAGAGAUGGAAUCCUUCAGAGAGCUCACAAGGUCUCACAUAGCUUCCAGGAGAGAAAUUACUGCCUGGCUCUCUUUGAAUUUCAGGUCUGAGAGGAAGCGAUCAGAGCUCGCGGUCCCAACAGCACCGAGGAGCCGCUUGAAACGCCAGGAGCUGCUACAGUCUUACUCAGGUGUGUCGACAAAGAGGCAAAAGCAGGCGGAAAGUUCAUAGACAGAGUGCUGUCUGUUUCCGGAUUUUGCGAGGCAGCACACGUCCAGGCGAGAUGUGGGGUCCGACUGAAAUGACUCCUGAAACAUCCAUCACUGCAAAUUACACAUUUGGUAGUGCUGAUUCCCUCUUUUGGGCUAAUGAAGUUAUAUGCCCCUGCACAACUACCACGAUGCCUGCUAAUGUCUUUUAAUUUGCAAAGAUAAUUACAACAAGGAAGGUUCCACUUGAAAAUCCAUACAUGCCAGCAAACGGAGCUAAAAUCGACCAAUCCACAGGGGUAAUUAUUUCUCCCUUGGAUCAUCUAAUGUAUAUAUACAUCUCAGGGGGCUAAUCACACUGAUCUAAUGCUUUAUGCAAUAAUAAAGCAGUCAGGGUUGACAUGACAUGUGUACAGGAUAUAAAAUGAGCAUUUGCGUGCAACUACUUAUGCAUACUAAUGUGCUUAGCAACGCGUCUGUUCGGCGCCUUGUUUGGGAAAUGCCAACAUUUGCAUUUGGUGCCUAAAGGUGCAAGAGAACCAGGCUAGGCUAUGCCCCGACAUUGUGCAAUCUGCACGAAGCCGAUGUAACAACAGAACAUGUUGUUAUCUUAAGGUUAAAAACACACGCGCAUGCUCACUCAUAUGCAUGCAAGGCGAGCGAGACAAACAACGGAGGAGCAGGCUGCGGGAGACUUAGUGGCAAGGAGAGUCUAGACAUAAUGAGUUUAAUAACGUACAAUGUUCAUUAAAACAUAGCUCACAGCCUCUCCGGAGGUGUCAUUCCUGUCAGAUUAGUGGUGCUGAGAUAUGGAUGGCACCGAGCGGAAGCAGCCCAUAUGGUCUGUCUGCUUGACAGCACUGUGACCCACAACAGAUGUGCUGUUCUUCUCUCCCCUGAUGUUAGACUCUGCCUCUUUGUCACACCUGUGUUUUCUCCCAAGCCACACAAUAACAUCAAGAAAUGACACCGCUGGAUUCGCCCUCUGACUCAACAAAGGAUUGUGGUCGGCCGCAAAAUACAUUUUGACUUAAUUAGGGAGGCUGGCUUCCUUCUGGGCAUUAUUAGAAUAAUGGCAACCUAAGAAAAAGAUAAAUU